UGGGGAAUAUUGCACAAUGGGGGAAACUCUGAUGCAGCGACGCCGCGUGGAGGAAGAAGGUCUUCGGAUUGUAAACUCCUGUUGUUGAGGAAGAUAAUGACGGUACUCAACAAGGAAGUGACGGCUAACUACGUGCCAGCAGCCGCGGUAAAACGUAGGUCACAAGCGUUGUCCGGAAUUACUGGGUGUAAAGGGAGCGCAGGCGGGAAGACAAGUUGGAAGUGAAAUCUAUGGGCUCAACCCAUAAACUGCUUUCAAAACUGUUUUUCUUGAGUAGUGCAGAGGUAGGCGGAAUUCCCGGUGUAGCGGUGGAAUGCGUAGAUAUCGGGAGGAACACCAGUGGCGAAGGCGGCCUACUGGGCACCAACUGACGCUGAGGCUCGAAAGUGUGGGUAGCAAACAGGAUUAGAUACCCUGGUAGUCCACACCGUAAACGAUGAUUACUAGGUGUUGGAGGAUUGACCCCUUCAGUGCCGCAGUUAACACAAUAAGUAAUCCACCUGGGGAGUACGACCGCAAGGUUGAAACUCAAAGGAAUUGACGGGGGCCCGCACAAGCAGUGGAGUAUGUGGUUUAAUUCGACGCAACGCGAAGAACCUUACCAAGUCUUGACAUCCCUUGACGAUGCUGGAAACAGUAUUUCUCUUCGGAGCAAGGAGACAGGUGGUGCAUGGUUGUCGUCAGCUCGUGUCGUGAGAUGUUGGGUUAAGUCCCGCAACGAGCGCAACCCUUAUGGUCAGUUACUACGCAAGAGGACUCUGGCCAGACUGCCGUUGACAAAACGGAGGAAGGUGGGGAUGACGUCAAAUCAUCAUGCCCUUUAUGACUUGGGCUACACACGUACUACAAUGGCGUUAAACAAAGAGAAGCAAGACCGCGAGGUGGAGCAAAACUCAGAAACAACGUCCCAGUUCGGACUGCAGGCUGCAACUCGCCUGCACGAAGUCGGAAUUGCUAGUAAUCGUGGAUCAGCAUGCCACGGUGAAUACGUUCCC
Molecule: ribosomal RNA, 995 nt
Filed under: uncultured bacterium
Lineage: Bacteria
Description: bacterial SSU rRNA
Rfam family: Bacterial small subunit ribosomal RNA
Source: RNAcentral